UACGUAGGUCGCAAGCGUUGUCCGGAUUUACUGGGCGUAAAGAGCGCGCAGGCGGCUGGUCAAGUCCGAUGUGAAAUCUCCCGGCUCAACUGGGAAACUGCAUCGGAAACUGAUCGGCUUGAAGAUGGGAGAGGGUAGUGGAAUUCCCGGUGUAGUGGUGAAAUGCGUAGAUAUCGGGAGGAACACCAGUGGCGAAGGCGACUACCUGGCCCAUUCUUGACGCUGAGGCGCGAAAGCUAGGGGAGCGAACAGG
Molecule: ribosomal RNA, 253 nt
Filed under: uncultured bacterium
Lineage: Bacteria
Description: partial 16S ribosomal RNA
Rfam family: Bacterial small subunit ribosomal RNA
Source: RNAcentral